RNAcentral lists this ribosomal RNA (232 nucleotides) under uncultured bacterium. Its description in RNAcentral is "partial 16S ribosomal RNA". It matches the Rfam family "Bacterial small subunit ribosomal RNA", at positions 118 to 347 of the family's 1533-position model. The record is from RNAcentral.
UGGGUAACCUGCCCUUAACACUGGGAUAAGCCUGGGAAACUGGGUCUAAUACCGGAUAUGACUCCUCAUCGCAUGGUGGGGGGUGGAAAGCUUUUUGUGGUUUUGGAUGGACUCGCGGCCUAUCAGCUUGUUGGUGAGGUAAUGGCUCACCAAGGCGACGACGGGUAGCCGGCCUGAGAGGGUGACCGGCCACACUGGGACUGAGACACGGCCCAGACUCCUACGGGAGCAG